This 65-nucleotide transfer RNA is filed under the name Dipodomys ordii (Ord's kangaroo rat). It matches the Rfam family "tRNA". Rfam says of the family: Transfer RNA (tRNA) molecules are approximately 80 nucleotides in length. Their secondary structure includes four short double-helical elements and three loops (D, anti-codon, and T loops). Further hydrogen bonds mediate the characteristic L-shaped molecular structure. tRNAs have two regions of fundamental functional importance: the anti-codon, which is responsible for specific mRNA codon recognition, and the 3' end, to which the tRNAs corresponding amino acid is attached (by aminoacyl-tRNA synthetases). tRNAs cope with the degeneracy of the genetic code in two manners: having more than one tRNA (with a specific anti-codon) for a particular amino acid; and 'wobble' base-pairing, i.e. permitting non-standard base-pairing at the 3rd anti-codon position. The record is from Rfam by way of RNAcentral. Lineage: Eukaryota; Metazoa; Chordata; Mammalia; Rodentia; Heteromyidae.
GGUGGCUCAGUGGUAGAGUGCUUGCCUCUCAUGUAUGAGACCCUGGGUUCAAUUCCUCAGCACCA